UUUAAAUUUAGAGUUUGAUCCUGGCUCAGGACGAACGCUGGCGGCGUGCUUAACACAUGCAAGUCGAGCGAUGAAACUUCUUUCGGGAAGUGGAUUAGCGGCGGACGGGUGAGUAACACGUGGGUAACCUGCCUCAAAGUGGGGGAUAGCCUUCCGAAAGGAAGAUUAAUACCGCAUAAUAUAAGAGAAUCGCAUGGUUUUCUUAUCAAAGAUUUAUUGCUUUGAGAUGGACCCGCGGCGCAUUAGCUAGUUGGUAAGGUAACGGCUUACCAAGGCAACGAUGCGUAGCCGACCUGAGAGGGUGAUCGGCCACAUUGGAACUGA
This 324-nucleotide ribosomal RNA is filed under the name Clostridium botulinum. RNAcentral describes it as "bacterial SSU rRNA". It matches the Rfam family "Bacterial small subunit ribosomal RNA", at positions 1 to 322 of the family's 1533-position model. The record is from RNAcentral. Lineage: Bacteria; Bacillati; Bacillota; Clostridia; Eubacteriales; Clostridiaceae.